GACGAACGCUGGCGGCGUGCUUAACACAUGCAAGUCGAACGGAAAGGCCCUGCUUUUGUGGGGUGCUCGAGUGGCGAACGGGUGAGUAACACGUGAGUAACCUGCCCUUGACUUUGGGAUAACUUCAGGAAACUGGGGCUAAUACCGGAUAGGAGCUCCUGCUGCAUGGUGGGGGUUGGAAAGUUUCGGCGGUUGGGGAUGGACUCGCGGCUUAUCAGCUUGUUGGUGGGGUAGUGGCUUACCAAGGCUUUGACGGGUAGCCGGCCUGAGAGGGUGACCGGCCACAUGGGGACUGAGAUACGGCCCAGACUCCUACGGGGGGCAGCAGUGGGGAAUAUUGCACAAUGGGGGGAAGCCUGAUGCAGAAACCCCGCGGGGGGGAUGACGGCCUUCGGGUUGUAACCCGCUUUCGCCUGGGACGAAGCGUGGGUGACGGUAAUGGGGAAAGAAGCACCGGCUAACUACGG
This 467-nucleotide ribosomal RNA is filed under the name uncultured bacterium. RNAcentral's name for it is "partial 16S ribosomal RNA". It matches the Rfam family "Bacterial small subunit ribosomal RNA", at positions 28 to 506 of the family's 1533-position model. The record is from RNAcentral.